RNAcentral lists this ribosomal RNA (492 nucleotides) under uncultured bacterium. Its description in RNAcentral is "partial 16S ribosomal RNA". It matches the Rfam family "Bacterial small subunit ribosomal RNA", at positions 29 to 507 of the family's 1533-position model. The record is from RNAcentral.
AGUGAACGCUGGCGGUAGGCCUAACUCAUGCAAGUCGAACGGCAGCACAGUAAGAGCUUGCUCUUACGGGUGGCGAGUGACGGACGGGUGAGGAAUACAUCGGAAUCUACUUUUUCGUGGGGGAUAACGUAGGGAAACUUACGCUAAUACCGCAUACGACCUACGGGUGAAAGCAGGGGAUCUUCGGACCUUGCGCGAUUGAAUGAGCCGAUGUCGGAUUAGCUAGUUGGCGGGGUAAAGGCCCACCAAGGCGACGAUCCGUAGCUGGUCUGAGAGGAUGAUCAGCCACACUGGAACUGAGACACGGUCCAGACUCCUACGGGAGGCAGCAGUGGGGAAUAUUGGACAAUGGGCGCAAGCCUGAUCCAGCCAUACCGCGUGGGUGAAGAAGGCCUUCGGGUUGUAAAGCCCUUUUGUUGGGAAAGAAAAGCAGCAGGUUAAUACCCCGCUGUUCUGACGGUACCCAAAGAAUAAGCACCGGCUAACUUCGUG